This 498-nucleotide long non-coding RNA is filed under the name Betta splendens (Siamese fighting fish). RNAcentral describes it as "lncRNA (ENSBSLG00000022707.1)". The record is from RNAcentral. Lineage: Eukaryota; Metazoa; Chordata; Actinopteri; Anabantiformes; Osphronemidae.
UGCAGCCCCGCCCCCAUAAUUGACGUUUCUCGGUAUCGAAAUAAGAAAAUUAAAUAAAUAAAACUAAUGAAUGAUUGCAGAAAGCGCGUCAAAAGUGAACAGACGCACCGAAACACCUGCACGAAGGUUCCAACGUCACGUGUGGGAGCGUUCUGGUGAGGUAACGUUGGUUAAGCUAACGCAGCUAACCGCAGUGUGACGGUUGGUCACUGAGAUGCUACUUAGCUGUUUAUGUGUGGAUGUUCUUUUACCGUUUUGCUGCAUUUAAUGCAUUAGGAGUGAUGAAGUUUUGCAUUGGAGCAAAUAACCCACGUGCUGGGUUUCAGACAUUCCAUGGAGAUUCCCUCACUGGAGGAGAUGGUGAGCCUGAGUCCACUGUAAAGGGAUCCAGCAUCAUCAUGUGGUAGGACUGUUUAAGAGACUGAGCAAAACAUCAGGUUACAGGUGUUAAAAGGAAAAAUCCACGACUCUACUACUGUGGAAUUAAAUUUCACAAGC